UGGAACGGUGUCUUGUGGAACUGUGGC
This 27-nucleotide non-coding RNA is filed under the name Homo sapiens (human). The record is from RNAcentral. Lineage: Eukaryota; Metazoa; Chordata; Mammalia; Primates; Hominidae.